RNAcentral lists this ribosomal RNA (468 nucleotides) under uncultured bacterium. Its description in RNAcentral is "partial 16S ribosomal RNA". It matches the Rfam family "Bacterial small subunit ribosomal RNA", at positions 28 to 507 of the family's 1533-position model. The record is from RNAcentral.
GACGAACGCUGGCGGCGUGCUUAACACAUGCAAGUCGAACGGAAAGGCCCUGCUCUUGUGGGGUGCUCGAGUGGCGAAAGGGUGAGUAACACGUGAGUAACCUGCCCUUGACUUUGGGAUAACUUCAGGAAACUGGGGCUAAUACCGGACAGGAGCUCCUGCUGCAUGGUGGGGGUUGGAAAGUUUCGGCGGUUGGGGAUGGACUCGCGGCUUAUCAGCUUGUUGGUGGGGUAGUGGCUUACCAAGGCUUUGACGGGUAGCCGGCCUGAGAGGGUGACCGGCCACAUUGGGACUGAGAUACGGCCCAGACUCCUACGGGAGGCAGCAGUGAGGAAUAUUGCACAAUGGGCGGAAGCCUGAUGCAGCAACUUCGCGUGCGGGAUGACGGCCCGCGGGUUGUAAACCGCUUUCGCCUGGGACGAAGCGUGAGUGACGGUAAUGGGUAAAGAAGCACCGGCUAACUACGUG